RNAcentral lists this RNase P RNA (354 nucleotides) under Desulfobaculum bizertense. RNAcentral describes it as "Paradesulfovibrio bizertensis RNase P RNA component class A". It matches the Rfam family "Bacterial RNase P class A". Rfam says of the family: Ribonuclease P (RNase P) is a ubiquitous endoribonuclease, found in archaea, bacteria and eukarya as well as chloroplasts and mitochondria. Its best characterised activity is the generation of mature 5'-ends of tRNAs by cleaving the 5'-leader elements of precursor-tRNAs. Lineage: Bacteria; Pseudomonadati; Thermodesulfobacteriota; Desulfovibrionia; Desulfovibrionales; Desulfovibrionaceae. The record is from RNAcentral. RNAcentral also lists the same sequence under 2 other names.
GGAGUCAGACAGACUGUCGCCGCGGCUCAUUGAGCCGGGGAGGAAAGUCCGGGCUUCAUAGGGCAAGACGCUGGAUAACGUCCAGGUGGGGCGACCCACGGACAGGGCCACAGAAACAAACCGCCAGCCUCGGCUGGUAAGGGUGAAAAGGUGGGGUAAGAGCCUACCAGCUGUUGUGGUAACACAGCAGGCUAGGUAACCCCCGUUUGAAGCAAGACCAAAUAGGAAAGCGCUUGAGGCCGGCCCGGUCGAAGCUUUCGGGUAGGUUGCUGGAGACCACAGGUAACUAUGGUCCUAGAGGAAUGACAGUCACCCGCAAGGGGACAAAACCCGGCUUAUCGUCCGACUCCCUUU